CCUACGGGUGGCAGCAGUGGGGAAUAUUGGACAAUGGGGGCAACCCUGAUCCAGCCAUGCCGCGUGUGUGAAGAAGGCCCUCGGGUUGUAAAGCACUUUCAGUGAGGAAGAACGCCUGGUGGUUAAUACCCAUCAGGAAAGACAUCACUCACAGAAGAAGCACCGGCUAACUCCGUGCCAGCAGCCGCGGUAAUACGGAGGGUGCGAGCGUUAAUCGGAAUUACUGGGCGUAAAGCGCGCGUAGGUGGCUUGAUAAGCCGGUUGUGAAAGCCCCGGGCUCAACCUGGGAACGGCAUCCGGAACUGUCAAGCUAGAGUGCAGGAGAGGAAGGUGGAAUUCCCGGUGUAGCGGUGAAAUGCGUAGAGAUCGGGAGGAAUACCAGUGGCGAAGGUGGCCUUCUGGACUGACACUGACACUGAGGUGCGAAAGCGUGGGUAGCAAACAGGAUUAGAUACCCUAGUAGUC
Molecule: ribosomal RNA, 465 nt
Filed under: Vreelandella stevensii
Lineage: Bacteria; Pseudomonadati; Pseudomonadota; Gammaproteobacteria; Oceanospirillales; Halomonadaceae
Description: partial 16S ribosomal RNA
Rfam family: Bacterial small subunit ribosomal RNA
Source: RNAcentral